RNAcentral lists this ribosomal RNA (443 nucleotides) under uncultured bacterium. Its description in RNAcentral is "partial 16S ribosomal RNA". It matches the Rfam family "Bacterial small subunit ribosomal RNA", at positions 338 to 795 of the family's 1533-position model. The record is from RNAcentral.
CCUACGGGAGGCAGCAGUGGGGAAUAUUGGACAAUGGGGGGAACCCUGAUCCAGCGACGCCGCGUGAGUGAAGAAGUAUUUCGGUAUGUAAAGCUCUAUCAGCAGGGAAGAAAGAAAUGACGGUACCUGACUACGAAGCCCCGGCUAACUACGUGCCAGCAGCCGCGGUAAUACGUAGGGAGCAAGCGUUAUCCGGAUUUACUGGGUGUAAAGGGAGCGUAGACGGCGAUGCAAGUCUGAAGUGAAAGGCGGGGGCCCAACCCCCGGACUGCUUUGGAAACUGUAGGGCUGGAGUGCAGGAGAGGUAAGUGGAAUGCCUAGUGUAGCGGUGAAAUGCGUAGAUAUUAGGAGGAACACCAGUGGCGAAGGCGGCUUACUGGACUGUAACUGACGUUGAGGCUCGAAAGCGUGGGGAGCAAACAGGAUUAGAUACCCCGGUAGUC